UUACUUACUUGGCUUGGGAGAUACCAUGAUCACAAAGGUGGUUUUCCCAGGGCGAGGCUUAUCCAUUGCACUCCAGAUGUGCUGACCCCUGCGAUUUCCCCAACUGUGGGAAACUCGACUGCAUAAUUUGUGGUAGUGGGGGACUGCAUUCCCGCCCCCCCCCA
Molecule: small nuclear RNA, 164 nt
Filed under: Castor canadensis (American beaver)
Lineage: Eukaryota; Metazoa; Chordata; Mammalia; Rodentia; Castoridae
Description: U1 spliceosomal RNA (ENSCCNG00000012326.1)
Rfam family: U1 spliceosomal RNA
About the family: U1 is a small nuclear RNA (snRNA) component of the spliceosome (involved in pre-mRNA splicing). Its 5' end forms complementary base pairs with the 5' splice junction, thus defining the 5' donor site of an intron.
Source: Rfam by way of RNAcentral